GCGUGGAGGUGAUCCCGGCGGCGCUGAUCCGCGGUCGGAUUUUUCCAAGGGCACCGGGAGCGGAGCCGUGGGGUUGGCUGGUCUGAGGGAACCCAACGAUGAUGGACGCCAGGGAGGUCAGAUCACUGCACACCGACACCCGUUUACCUGAUGGAGGCUGUGACAGGUGGCGGAAGCCAUUACUCUCUUUUGCACGGCGACCACGGGUCACUAAAAGAACCGUGGGGGGAAAAUACCCCCCAGUACCUGUGUGGACAUCAUACACUUUAACGGUUACUGAGGGUUUCUUUGUUCAUAGACGGGAAGAACAAGCUUCAUAUUUCAUAAAUGUUCAGCGUGGACCUGAGGAACUUAGUUGAUCAACAGAAAACGUAAUAGUAUUAAAUGAUCAAUUCAUUUCAGUCAUUUUUCAUGCAGAAAAGUCCGGCAGCCAAAUUCAGCCUCUCAAAUUGAAGAGUGAACGUAUAAUCUUAGAUGAAUUAAACAGGGAACUUGAAGCUGUAACCUUGGGCUGAAGCGUCAUAUAAUUCAUAGACGCGUUUAAAUUGUCAGCAGAUUCAUCUUAAGAAGUGCAAGCAGUGGUUUGGUGAGUGUUUCAACUCCCAUACGUCCUGAUUAUAUAAAUUAAUACAGAUCGCUGUUUUCCGCUUUAAUUUCUCGUGUAUUUAGCGUGUGUGGUUUUAACAAACCAAGUUAUCCAGGAACCAAACCAACACACCCAAACCUGUUAAUGUUGAGCUUUUCAAAUGAAUGUGUCUGUAUUGAACACAUCAACAUUUUUCUCAGUAAAUAUAUUUCUAAAGGUGCUGUUGACAUGAAAUUUUCACUAGAUGUCGUAAUUAAUUCAUGAAUAUAAAAAAAACAGAAAUUGAGUUAUGUGCAAUAAAAUGGAAUGACACCAGGGGAAACGUAGUGAACACAUGAAGAAAGGAAGGUGAAGAAAGGACAGCCAAGACACGAGCUGGAAUCUAACAGUAAUAAGAAAGCACUGCUGCCCCUUGUCAUGCAAAUGUAUAUCAUCUGAUUCAGUCGCAACUGAUGGCCUAUAAAAAGGUGUCUCAUUACCAUGGUGUCCCACAUGAAGGGUAAGAGCAAAGAGCUUGCGCAAGACCUUUGCUACCUUUUUGGUGCAAAACAUCCUGAUGGCGUUGCGUCACUUAUAGAAAGUCAUAAUACGGAAGUGAGAUUAUAAUUUCUCCAUAAACCGGCCACGACCAGGUGCUCCUCGAGAGAUUUCUGAUAGAGAGAAAAUAAUUAAGAGAAGAGUUGUCCAAGAGCCAAGGACCACUUGUGGACGAUAAUACACACCAUGUUUGGAGGUCAAAUUGCACUGCACAUCCCCCCCAAAACACCAGACCAACAGGUUUGAAGGUGGGAACAUUUUUUCUGCAAACGGCACUGGCAAAUUUCCUAUAAUUGAAGGAAGGGAGAAUGGAAAAAUGUACCAAGACAUUCUUGAUAAAAAUCUGCUGCCAUUUACCAGGAUGAUGAAGAUGAAACAAGGGUGGACAUUUCAACGACACGACAAUGGUCCCAAACACACAGCCAAGGAAACUCUUAAUGGGUUUCAGAGACGCAAGAUAAAGCUGCUGGGAUGGAACAGCCAAUCCCCCCACUUGAAUCCAACCGACGUCAUAAGGAACAAAGACUUUUGUACAAAGGGUUGAAUAAAUGUAAGACUGUGUGUAAAAUAAGAGUCCUAUGAUACUGAAAUAAAGAAACUUGAGAAAAGAA
Non-coding RNA from Gasterosteus aculeatus aculeatus (three-spined stickleback), 1734 nucleotides. The record is from RefSeq and is a predicted model, not a curated record. Lineage: Eukaryota; Metazoa; Chordata; Actinopteri; Perciformes; Gasterosteidae.